ACACAAAAACAAUCCCAUAUCCACCCCUUUUUAUAACGAACUCUGGUUUUAAACUACCAUUGUCUCUUCUUUAUCCAACUUUAUUUUUACCCCAACUUCUUAUAACCAAAAUGCAAUAGACUGAUAUUUAUUUAUCUUUAUAAUCUUUAUAAAUGAUAUUUAAAA
Molecule: unclassified non-coding RNA, 165 nt
Filed under: soil metagenome
Description: partial internal transcribed spacer 1
Source: RNAcentral